RNAcentral lists this unclassified non-coding RNA (326 nucleotides) under uncultured fungus. RNAcentral describes it as "partial contains small subunit ribosomal RNA, internal transcribed spacer 1, and 5.8S ribosomal RNA". The stretch from base 1 to 73 matches the Rfam family "Eukaryotic small subunit ribosomal RNA", at positions 1759 to 1831 of the family's 1831-position model. Lineage: Eukaryota; Fungi. The record is from RNAcentral.
UCAAACUUGGUCAUUUAGAGGAAGUAAAAGUCGUAACAAGGUUUCCGUAGGUGAACCUGCGGAAGGAUCAUUAACGUAUCUCUGGCGGAGCCGCGUCCCGCCCUGCUCCGGCCCGAAAGGACCGUGCAGCGGGCGAUCGCGCCCCGUCCAACCUCACAAACCCACGUGAACCCACACGGCGGAAGGGGUCCGGUUAGCGCUGGGCCUCGGAAGUCGCAUACCAAACCCCAGUUUUAAAGAAAGUCGAGCGGACUCUGAGCCGCCUAAAACACAAAACAACUUUCAACAACGGAUCUCUUGGCUCUCGCAUCGAUGAAGAACGCAGC